GGAUCCAGACUUUGAUUCUGGCUCAGGAUGAACGCUAGCUACAGGCUUAACACAUGCAAGUCGAGGGGAAACGACAUCGAAAGCUUGCUUUUGAUGGGUGUCGACCGGCGCACGGGUGAGUAACGCGUAUCCAACCUGCCCAUCACUUGGGAAUAACCUUGCGAGAGUAAGACUAAUACCCAAUGAUAUCCCACGAAGGCAUCCGAAUGGGAUUAAAGAUUUAUCGGUGAUGGAUGGGGAUGCGUCUGAUUAGCUUGUUGGCGGGGUAACGGCCCACCAAGGCAACGAUCAGUAGGGGUUCUGAGAGGAAGGUCCCCCACAUUGGAACUGAGACACGGUCCAAACUCCUACGGGAGGCAGCAGUGAGGAAUAUCGGUCAAUGGGCGAGAGCCUGAACCAGCCAAGUAGCGUGCAGGAAGACGGCCCUAUGGGUUGUAAACUGCUUUUAAAGGGGAUAAAGUGAGUCUCGUGAGACUUUUUGCAUGUACCUUAUGAAUAAGGACCGGUUAAUUCCGUGCCAGCAGCCGCGGUAAUACGGAAGGUCCGGGCGUUAUCCGGAUUUAUUGGGUUUAAAGGGAGCGUAGGCCGGAGAUUAAGCGUGUUGUGAAAUGUAGAGGCUCAACCUCUGCACUGCAGCGCGAACUGGUCUUCUUGAGUACGCACAACGUGGGCGGAAUUCGUGGUGCAGCGGUGAAAUGCUUAGAUAUCACGAAGAACUCCGAUUGCGAAGGCAGCUCACGGGAGCGCAACUGACGCUGAAGCUCGAAAGUGCGGGUAUCGAACAGGAUUAGAUACCCUGGUAGUCCGCACGGUAAACGAUGGAUGCCCGCUGUUGGCCUGAAUAGGUCAGCGGCCAAGCGAAAGCAUUAAGCAUCCCACCUGGGGAGUACGCCGGCAACGGUGCAACUCAAAGGAAUUGACGG
RNAcentral lists this ribosomal RNA (923 nucleotides) under uncultured Bacteroidota bacterium. RNAcentral's name for it is "bacterial SSU rRNA". It matches the Rfam family "Bacterial small subunit ribosomal RNA", at positions 1 to 916 of the family's 1533-position model. Lineage: Bacteria; Pseudomonadati; Bacteroidota. The record is from RNAcentral.